CGUGUAGGCGGUGCGGUAAGUUGGGCGUGAAAUCCCCGAGCUUAACUCGGGUGGGCCGUUCAAGACUGCCGUGCUAGGGUGCGGGAGAGGGCAGUGGAAUUUCCGGUGUAGCGGUGAAAUGCGUAGAUAUCGGGAGGAACACCUGCGGCGAAGGCGGCUGCCUGGACCGUAACCGACGCUGAGGCGCGAAAGCUAGGGGAGCAAACAGGAUUAGAUACCCUGGUAGUCCUAGCCCUAAACGAUGAGCACUGGGUGUGGCCCCUCACAGGGCCGUGCCGAAGCUAACGCAUUAAGUGCUCCGCCUGGGGAGUACGGUCGCAAGGCUGAA
Molecule: ribosomal RNA, 328 nt
Filed under: uncultured bacterium
Lineage: Bacteria
Description: bacterial SSU rRNA
Rfam family: Bacterial small subunit ribosomal RNA
Source: RNAcentral